RNAcentral lists this long non-coding RNA (200 nucleotides) under Nicotiana benthamiana. RNAcentral's name for it is "long non-coding RNA (NBEN_LNC029999)". Lineage: Eukaryota; Viridiplantae; Streptophyta; Magnoliopsida; Solanales; Solanaceae. The record is from RNAcentral.
CUAUACAGUUCAGUUUUAGUUACAAAUGAAAAUCUAGUGAGAUUCUAAAGCAUACAUGAAACUGCCAGAGAAAUCAGCCAUAGUUACAAACGAGAGUCUACUGGAAUUUUAUACUACAUGAAAUACAAUAGACAAGUCAACAGAGAUUCAUUCAUCCUUUACUUCAUGUCCACAAACUUGAAAGUUAUAGGAUAUGUACC